GUCUAACAACUAUGUUAUGCCAGGCUCGGACUGGGCACCAAUGAUACAGGAAGGAGCAAGACACAACACACUUAAGGAGCCAGUGCUGUGGGAACGGCAGAUAAUCAUGCCAGAAGACAAGCUGCAAAGCAUUGAGAGGCCUGGAGGCACAGAGUUAACCUGAAACCACUGGCUUCACACCACCAUCCACUAGAAGGAACAGGCCUGGCUGACAAGAGGCAAGUCAUCGUUCCGCCAGAGUGGCCCUGCCCGAGGCAGGCUGGCACCCAGAAGCAUUCCAUCCAAAUAACGUCUUCCCCACUGAGCGCUCCUCUGCUCAUUCAGUAAACCGCGACCCAUGUUGUGUGUCCCCAGACGCAUUUGCGGAGGCCUGGCCCGUUAUUUCAUUUAAAAAAAGUUUUUUUAA
Hyaena hyaena (striped hyena) is the source of this 406-nucleotide long non-coding RNA. RefSeq lists it as uncharacterized. The transcript is spliced from 2 exons. The record is from RefSeq and is a predicted model, not a curated record. Lineage: Eukaryota; Metazoa; Chordata; Mammalia; Carnivora; Hyaenidae.